Cinara cedri is the source of this 227-nucleotide non-coding RNA. The record is from the annotation of a GenBank genome assembly. NCBI's taxonomy places the organism in Eukaryota, Metazoa, Arthropoda, Insecta, Hemiptera, Aphididae.
UUUUAUUCGUGUAUUUCUUUUUACACAUUUAUGAAGUUUAAUAUAAAUAAUAAUAUAAUAUGCUUGAUAGGUUUAUACAAGAAAAAAGUAAAAAUCAUCGAUUAGAUUCUAUUAGAAUAUCGUAUACAUACAAACGAUCUAAAUAUAUUACAUAGGUAAUAAUAAUAUUAUCCAUAUCUAUACUAUUUGAGUAAAAAUGGAGUAUGUUAAAUAAGUAUAUAGGUAUA